CUAUUUCUGAUCUCUUUCAUGGU
RNAcentral lists this non-coding RNA (23 nucleotides) under Rattus norvegicus (Norway rat). The record is from RNAcentral. Lineage: Eukaryota; Metazoa; Chordata; Mammalia; Rodentia; Muridae.